UGAUUUCAUCACACUGGGAAAAAUUAUAAAUUGAAAUAAUAACAUUAAUUGAUGAUGAAAAUGGCUUUGUUUCUUUAUGUGACAGUAAACUGUGUAUCUGAACACCUUGGGCUUUGGUGGCCAUGUUAUAGACCAAACUGUUAACGUCAACUGAGAAAAUAAUGCACAGAUUGAUUGAUUGGUAAUGAAACUUAUCAUUGCAGCCCUAGAAAACCUACACGUGUGGCUUUGUCAGCGAUUUACAACCCAUGAAUUUCAGCUCCAUAAUAAUCCAUAAAAAAAAGGUUUUCUGGUUAACUUCCAGGAAGACAUUAACGGCCAAAAAUCUCAGCUGAAGUUGUCACGAGGAAAAUUCCGCCUCUGUGCCUGAUGAUGAAAUGAUAAGAGCAUCCUGCCUCGCUGCCUACGCAGAUGGGAGCUUCACUGAAGAGCUCGACAAUGUAAAGAGAACCCAAAGUCCCAGUUUGAAUAAAGGUCCCUAUUCUGUCUGUCUCUCUCUACACUGCCACUCCCCCCCUCAGAAGCUCCAGUAUAAUCCCCCCAGCCCUGCCCCCCAUGGACGAGUCCCAGUCAAAGGGCUCGAGUUGAUCUUUGUGGGCCAGUUCUUGUCAUGGUCAAUCACAGCCACAAGUCUACCAAUGCAUGUACUUCUGUACCCAGGGCCACCUAAAACUACCUGUGCAGCGAAAAGGGUUAAAAUUUAUCCAUAAUAUUAUUGUUAUAGAAAUAUUAUCAUCAUCAUUAUUGCUGUUAUAAUUAUGGUUGGUAUAAUUUGUCAUCAUUGUUAGCAUUAUGGAAGCACCAGACUGUUUGUGGAAAGACGAGAAAAAGAAAGCUUUUUUUUUUUUUUUUUUUUAAUUGUCUGGCUGUUGGUGGUCUGAUCUCACAGAGGGAGGGGAGGAAUGGUUCAGAAAGAGACAAAAGAUGGCAGUCAUGUUUGUACUGGUUGGGAAAUGACUUACAGUGCUGAAAUAAAAUUUAUUCUUUUAGUAAAAAAAAAGUAUUUGUUGUGUGCGGCGUCUUGAUUUUUAGAUUUAGCUUCAAUAUUGAAAGCGCAAAGACAAUUUUGACAUCGG
RNAcentral lists this long non-coding RNA (1076 nucleotides) under Sparus aurata (gilthead seabream). Its description in RNAcentral is "lncRNA (ENSSAUG00010010514.1)". The record is from RNAcentral. Lineage: Eukaryota; Metazoa; Chordata; Actinopteri; Spariformes; Sparidae.